AGUGAAUAGAUACCCGGGUAGUCCUAGCCGUAAACGAUACUCGCUAGGUGUCGGCCACGGUGCGACCGUUGUCGGUGCCGUAGGGAAAGCCGUGAAGCGAGCCACCUGGGAAGUACGGCCGCAAGGCUGAAACUUAAAGGAAUUGGCGGGGGAGCACCACAACGGGUGGAGCUUGCGGUUUAAUUGGAUUCAACGCCGGAAAUCUUACCGGGACCGACAGCAAUAUGAAGGCCAGGCUGAAGACUUUGCCGGAUUAGCUGAGAGGUGGUGCAUGGCCGUCGUCAGUUCGUACUGUGAAAGCAUCCUGUUAAGUCAGGCAACGAGCGAGACCCACGCCCACAGUUGCCAGCGUACUCUCCGGAGUGACGGGUACACUGUGGGGACCGCCGCUGCUAAAGCGGAGGAAGGAAUGGGCAACGGUAGGUCAGUAUGCCCCGAAUAUCCCGGGCUACACGCGAGCUACAAUGGUUGGUACAAUGGGUAUCUACCCCGAAAGGGGAUGGAAAUCUCCUAAAGCCAAUCUUAGUUCGGAUUGAGGGCUGCAACUCGCCCUC
RNAcentral lists this ribosomal RNA (554 nucleotides) under uncultured bacterium. RNAcentral's name for it is "bacterial SSU rRNA". It matches the Rfam family "Archaeal small subunit ribosomal RNA", at positions 725 to 1275 of the family's 1478-position model. The record is from RNAcentral.